GCUGGGCGUGGUGGCUCAUGCCUGUAAUCCCAGCACUUUGGGAGGCUGAGGUGGGUGGAUCACUUGAGGUCAGGAGUUCGAGACCAGCCUGGCCAACAUGGUGAAACCCCAUCUCUA
RNAcentral lists this non-coding RNA (117 nucleotides) under Nomascus leucogenys (northern white-cheeked gibbon). Lineage: Eukaryota; Metazoa; Chordata; Mammalia; Primates; Hylobatidae. The record is from Rfam by way of RNAcentral.